UUGGGUGAAGGCUGCUUUCUGAAGUGGAGUGCUUUCUUGCUAGAAACCCUCACCACCACUUGGUCUCUUUCAGUCUGCCUCUCCUUCAAAUGGGCAUGAUAAACUGGUAAUGGACAGAAGUGACAAUCUCAUGAAGUUUCUAUUCAACAUUCCCCAAUUUCUAUACAUGAAGACAGAGCUAACCUUCCUGAGGAUUUAGAUGCAGCCUGAAUGGUAUUGGAGACAGUAUUGGGUCUAGGAUUUGAGUUAUAGCCAGGAUGUCUGCUGCAAUGACUGCAGGUAUUGCAACUGACUGAGGAAAACCAAGGAACAGACGAGGAAGAGCCAAAAGGAUCCCUGGCUUGAAGCUUAACCUUUUUUGACUUCACAAGGAGGAUGCCUUUGCUAUUUAAUUGGAAAGAAUGCUUGGUUUGGUUCUGCUUCUGACAACUGAUUUGUUGUGAGCAAAGGGUCUCUUACAGCUGGAGCCAUUUUCAUAAAAUGAAGGUAGCUCUGGCAGUUUAAAUCCUUACGUGGAAGCUGAAUUAAUUCAACUGGGAUUCAACUUAAAGUUAACAACACUGAGAGCAAAAAUAAACUUUAGUUUAUUUAUAAGCUGUACCAGUAACUCAGCUGUCUCAAGAGAUCAGAGACAAAAAUACUGCAGCAUUUGUCCAGUUGAUUAACUUGCUUUUAUUCAAAACUGCCCUGAUUUGUCAUUAAAGCACAGAAAUAACUAUUUCAGUGACAGUUUCUUGGGGGAGUUAAGUAAACUUUGUGAUGUGUGCUUGUAAUCAACUUCCUUAUGUCUAGAGCAAUACAUUCUAAAUAAGUAAUUGAAGAUUAUGUUCCACAUUUUGAAAGUAUUAGUUUUGCAGGAGCUGAUCAUCAUCAGUGUCUUGUUUUACUUUUCAUGUUUGUCUUAUUUGCUUAAGCAAUGACCAUUUUGGAACCAGAUUGUGUUAUUUCUGCUUCAUUUGCUUAUGUCAUUGCUCUUUUGGAAGUCUAUUUAAAAAUUAUUCUGAACACAACUGUUUUGUUACUUAUCAGGUUGUAGUAUGUGUUGCUCUGUUUCUGUUCUAUUUUUUUCUUGAAUCAUGACAAUGCAUU
Long non-coding RNA from Gallus gallus (chicken), 1089 nucleotides. NCBI's taxonomy places the organism in Eukaryota, Metazoa, Chordata, Aves, Galliformes, Phasianidae. The record is from Ensembl.